GUAGGUGGCAAGCGUUGUCCGGAAUUAUUGGGCGUAAAGCGCGCGCAGGCGGUCCUUUAAGUCUGAUGUGAAAGCCCACGGGCUCAACCGUGGAGGGUCAUUGGAAACUGGGGGACUUGAGUACAGAAGAGGAAAGCGGAAUUCCACGUGUAGCGGUGAAAUGCGUAGAGAUGUGGAGGAACACCAGUGGCGAAGGCGGCUUUCUGGUCUGUAACUGACGCUGAGGCGCGAAAGCGUGGGGAGCAAACAGGAUCAGAUACCCUGGUAGUCCACGCCGUAAACGAUGAGUGCUAAGUGUUAGGGGGUUUCCGCCCCUUAGUGCUGCAGCUAACGCAUUAAGCACUCCGCCUGGGGAGUACGGCCGCAAGGCUG
RNAcentral lists this ribosomal RNA (372 nucleotides) under uncultured organism. Its description in RNAcentral is "partial 16S ribosomal RNA". It matches the Rfam family "Bacterial small subunit ribosomal RNA", at positions 527 to 896 of the family's 1533-position model. The record is from RNAcentral.